Molecule: non-coding RNA, 91 nt
Organism: Acanthosepion pharaonis
Lineage: Eukaryota; Metazoa; Mollusca; Cephalopoda; Sepiida; Sepiidae
Source: the annotation of a GenBank genome assembly
ACGUUGAAACACCGGUUCCCGUACGAUCACCGAAGUUAAGCAAUGUUGAGCCUGAUCCAUAACUAGAUGGGCGACCUCUUGCUAAUAUCAG